Molecule: unclassified non-coding RNA, 1123 nt
Filed under: Hevea brasiliensis (rubber tree)
Lineage: Eukaryota; Viridiplantae; Streptophyta; Magnoliopsida; Malpighiales; Euphorbiaceae
Source: RNAcentral
CUCUUUGCUCGUCUCAAUUUUUUUUUUCUUCCUCCGUUUUUAAUGUCAUUAGGAUAAUCUUAUGUUAUUGGGCUAAAUUUGGGAAUCUAUCUUUCUGCUUUUCGAGAUUCAUUAGGGAUUCAGUUUGGCUAAUGAAAUUGAUUAUAGCCAUUAUAUUUGCGUAAUCGCUGACCAUUAAGAUACUCUAAACAGAUGUCUUCUUUUAUUUGUUAAUUUUCGUAGGGUAUUCUGGCAUGACAGUUUCGGAAUUUGGUUUUUAAUGUCCCCCCCUUAUGCAUUAGGGAUUCAAAUAAGCAUUCAAAUAGGCAUUCAAGGACUUCCUUAUUUUACCUUUCUUCUACACUUGGAAUUGCCAUAAUAUAAUCAUUGCUGCCUCAUUUACUAUUAGGCAUGAAGGUCCAAAAAAAUACUCAACGUUCCAAAAUUUUAUAAAUCAUUAUUGGAAAAUGCAUCCCUUUUGUUUCUGACUUUCUGAGAUUCAGGAGAGAAAAUUCUAAGCUUACUUUAACUUUAACAAAGUGAAUCCUACUUUGUAAAUAACUACCACUGAAUGAAUUAGUAAUGACUCAUCUAAUUGUCAAGGCAACAAAGUACCAACAAAGUAAGAAAAAAAAAAAAAAAACAAAUACAGUAGCAAACGCAAACAAAAACACUAGAGCCAACAUAUAAACUCUGACCAAUCACAAGAUGUGGAGUUCUUCAUAUUGCAUAGGUGUCCUACGCUGCCUUGCUUCUCCAAUGAAAAUGCCAGUCUACGAGAAGAGAGAGGACAUGGGAAGGAAAUCAAGACUCGAGAACAAUGACUGAGAGAGGAGAAAGCAAAGGGGAAAGAAAUCAAGAGGUAGAGGGCUUGGGAAAGAAAUUGAAAGAUAUCUAGAGGUAGAUAUGCUCACUGGGGAAAGAAGUCGAAGUUGGGAAAGAAAUACACAGUUAGAGAGUAUGGGGAAAGAAUGGGGAAGGGCUUUAGGCUUGAAAAGGUUGGCAGAGUUUCUGAGAGGAGGAGGAGGAGGGAUAUAGAUAAGAGAUAACCUUAUGAUAAAAAAAUGACAACACAUGAGGCAUUUUGGUUCAGUUUGGCUUACAACUUUUUUUUACUCAAAAAUCAAAUCAAAAUAAUUGAAAU